This 148-nucleotide non-coding RNA is filed under the name Pan troglodytes (chimpanzee). Lineage: Eukaryota; Metazoa; Chordata; Mammalia; Primates; Hominidae. The record is from Rfam by way of RNAcentral.
GCCGGGCGUGGUGGUGCAUGCCUGUAGUCCCAGCUACUCAGGAGGCUGAGACAGGAGAAUUGCUUGAACCCAGGAGGCAGAAGUUGCAGUGAGCCGAGAUCACACCACUGCACUCCAGCCUGGGUGACAGAGUGAAACUCUGUCUCAA